AACGCAAAUUGCGCUCUUUGGUAUUCCGAAGAGCAUGCCUGUUUGAGUGUCAUAAUAACCCUCACCUUUCUUGGUUUUAUGAACCAGGAAUUGGGUGGUUUGGACGUCUGCCAGCUUCACGGUUGGCUCGUCUUAAAUGCAUUAGUGGAAAUCAAUAGCGUGAUAAGUCUUCGCUUUAAGAACACCACUUUAAAUCAUCUAUUUCUCUGACCUCAAAUCAGGUAGGACUACCCGCUGAACUUAA
Molecule: unclassified non-coding RNA, 244 nt
Filed under: uncultured fungus
Lineage: Eukaryota; Fungi
Description: sequence contains ITS2
Rfam family: 5.8S ribosomal RNA (bases 1-52)
Source: RNAcentral